AUUGAACGCUGGCGGUAGGCUUAACACAUGCAAGUCGUGCGAGAAAGUAUCUUCGGAUAUGAUUAGAGCGGCGGACGGGUGAGUAACGCGUAGGAAUCUACCUAGUAGAAGGGGAUAGCCCGAGGAAACUCGGAUUAAUACCGUAUACCUCCUUCGGGAGAAAGAAGGCCUCUCUUUGAAGCUUUCGCUACUAGAUGAGCCUGCGUAAGAUUAGCUUGUUGGUGAGGUAAAGGCUCACCAAGGCGACGAUCUUUAGCGGGUCUGAGAGGACGAUCCGCCACAUUGGGACUGAGACACGGCCCAGACUCCUACGGGAGGCAGCAGUGGGGAAUAUUGGACAAUGGGCGCAAGCCUGAUCCAGCCAUACCGCGUGUGUGAAGAAGGCCUUAGGGUUGUAAAGCACUUUAAGUUGGGAAGAAAGGUUAUUGGCUAAUACCCAAUAACUGUGACAUUACCAUCAGAAUAAGGACCGGCUAAUUCCGUGCCAGCAGCCGCGGUAAUACGGAAGGUCCAAGCGUUAAUCGGAAUUACUGGGCGUAAAGCGCGCGUAGGUGGUUUAUUAAGUUGGAUGUGAAAUCCCCGGGCUCAACCUGGGAACUGCAUUCAAAACUGGUUCACUAGAGUACGAUAGAGGGAGGUAGAAUUCACAGUGUAGCGGUGGAAUGCGUAGAUAUUGUGAAGAAUACCAAUGGCGAAGGCAGCCUCCUGGAUCUGUACUGACACUGAGGUGCGAAAGCGUGGGUAGCGAACAGGAUUAGAUACCCUGGUAGUCCACGCCGUAAACGAUGUCAACUAGCUGUUGGAAAGCACUGCUUUUCAGUGGCGCAGCUAACGUAGUAAGUUGACCGCCUGGGGAGUACGGCCGCAAGGUUAAAACUCAAAUGAAUUGACGGGGACCCGCACAAGCGGUGGAGCAUGUGGUUUAAUUCGAUGCGACGCGAAAAACCUUACCUAUGCUUGACAUACUUGGAAUACUUUGUAAUGAAGUAGUGC
RNAcentral lists this ribosomal RNA (993 nucleotides) under uncultured bacterium. Its description in RNAcentral is "bacterial SSU rRNA". It matches the Rfam family "Bacterial small subunit ribosomal RNA", at positions 28 to 1017 of the family's 1533-position model. The record is from RNAcentral.